AACAGGCAAGUUUUGUCCGUGUUUUUCCAUCUACCCCUCACCUGAUCCCUCUGCUUGCAGUUUUGAGCUUUCAGAGCUCAGGCUUCUCUUCUUCUGUCGGGGAGGUGGCUGCUCCCAGCCUGCCACAGGGGGCCCUCAAGAAAGGGGUUGGUGUGAAGAGGCGGGGCUCCUCCGUGGGCCUCCCCCAGCACCCACCCCUUCUGGGCUCAGCCUGGUGGUCUUUAAGAGAGAUCCUCGCUAACUCCCCUGCCCAUCGCAUCUGCUGGGAACCCCAGUCUCACUAUUGUCCCAGCCAUGCUGCAGGCCCCAGUGCUGCUUCUGGUGUUCCUGGCUCUUGUCACUCAAGUAUCUUCCAACAUGGAAGGCGACAGGAUGUCAAUCACCAGGGCAACUGGGUCCUCUGCUGAAAUCCCUUGUGAUCUUCCUACACAAAACAAGCAAUAUAUCCACUGGUACAAAUUCCAGGAGGGAACAGUACCCCGACGCCUUCUCUACUACGAUGUCUACUACUCAAAGGUUGUGCUGGAACCAGGAAUCAGUCCAGGGAAAUACCAUGGCUAUGAAGACACAGACAAGAUGUAUACAUUUGUAAUCUCAAAUCUUCAAGAAAGUGAUUCUGGCGUGUACCGCUGCGCUGUCUGGGAGAAGCACAUUGGUUCAGCCCUCCUUUACACUGCACUGAAAUUUUGCUUGUCACUGCCAAAAAACAGCCCGGAUACACAGGAUAGACCAACCCCGGCCUCACUUCCUGCUGUCAAUGCCAAUUCUCUUUACUCUGAACAAAGUGAAAUCCUGAGCUCAUCGCCCAUCCCCCACCUUUAA
Molecule: non-coding RNA, 822 nt
Organism: Bubalus bubalis (water buffalo)
Lineage: Eukaryota; Metazoa; Chordata; Mammalia; Artiodactyla; Bovidae
Source: the annotation of a RefSeq genome assembly